This 465-nucleotide ribosomal RNA is filed under the name Vreelandella stevensii. Its description in RNAcentral is "partial 16S ribosomal RNA". It matches the Rfam family "Bacterial small subunit ribosomal RNA", at positions 338 to 795 of the family's 1533-position model. Lineage: Bacteria; Pseudomonadati; Pseudomonadota; Gammaproteobacteria; Oceanospirillales; Halomonadaceae. The record is from RNAcentral.
CCUACGGGAGGCUGCAGUGGGGAAUAUUGGACAAUGGGGGGAACCCUGAUCCAGCCAUGCCGCGUGUGUGAAGAAGGCCCUCGGGUUGUAAAGCACUUUCAGUGAGGAAGAACGCCUGGUGGUUAAUACCCAUCAGGAAAGACAUCACUCACAGAAGAAGCACCGGCUAACUCCGUGCCAGCAGCCGCGGUAAUACGGAGGGUGCGAGCGUUAAUCGGAAUUACUGGGCGUAAAGCGCGCGUAGGUGGCUUGAUAAGCCGGUUGUGAAAGCCCCGGGCUCAACCUGGGAACGGCAUCCGGAACUGUCAAGCUAGAGUGCAGGAGAGGAAGGUAGAAUUCCCGGUGUAGCGGUGAAAUGCGUAGAGAUCGGGAGGAAUACCAGUGGCGAAGGCGGCCUUCUAGACUGACACUGACACUGAGGUGCGAAAGCGUGGGUAGCAAACAGGAUUAGAUACCCCUGUAGUC